RNAcentral lists this transfer RNA (72 nucleotides) under Trichoderma hamatum GD12. RNAcentral describes it as "tRNA-His (GTG) (tRNA-His-GTG-3 1 to 3)". It matches the Rfam family "tRNA". Rfam says of the family: Transfer RNA (tRNA) molecules are approximately 80 nucleotides in length. The record is from RNAcentral. Lineage: Eukaryota; Fungi; Ascomycota; Sordariomycetes; Hypocreales; Hypocreaceae.
GCUAUUAUGGUCCAACGGUUAAGACAUCAGUUUGUGGCACUGAAGACCGAGGUUCGACUCCUCGUAAUGGCA